Molecule: ribosomal RNA, 248 nt
Filed under: uncultured bacterium
Lineage: Bacteria
Description: partial 16S ribosomal RNA
Rfam family: Bacterial small subunit ribosomal RNA
Source: RNAcentral
AAUCAACGCUGGCGGCGUGCCUAACACAUGCAAGUCGAGCGGGAAAGGGGGCUUCGGCCCCUGAGUAUAGCGGCGGACGGGUGAGUAACACGUGGGUAAUUUGCCCUUGGGUGUGGAAUAACUCAGGGAAACUUGAGCUAAUACCGCAUGACAUCCCCUUCACACACGAGUCGGGGAUCAAAGCCGGGGACCCUUCGGGGCCUGGCGCCUGAGGAGAAGCCCGCGCCCGAUUAGCUAGUUGGNGAGGU